RNAcentral lists this non-coding RNA (169 nucleotides) under human gut metagenome. The record is from RNAcentral.
AUUAAUUAGGUUCUUAUUUGUUAAAUUAAGAUUAAAAGGGAAAAAGGUAAAUUCCUUUGCAGCCCCCGCUACUGUGAAACCGACGAAACUAUUAUAAACCACUGUCAUAUUUGAUGGGAAGGAGUAGGAGUAGGAUGAAGUUAAGCCAGGAGACCUGCCUAAGUUAAUU